Molecule: long non-coding RNA, 6355 nt
Organism: Gigantopelta aegis
Lineage: Eukaryota; Metazoa; Mollusca; Gastropoda; Neomphalida; Peltospiridae
Exons: 2
Source: RefSeq, a predicted model, not a curated record
UUCUGUAAUAACAGAGAAAAUAGUGGUUUAAUAUUAAAACAUACUACACAUACAUCAUCAUACGUACACGCACACACACACUUUAACACAAACGCAUACUUAAGUGCGCCCUCGCACACACACACAUACACACGCACACACACUUUACAACACACACCAUACAUACUUUAACAUAUGUUAAUAGUAGGUCUCCUACUUAAUCAAAUAUACAUUUUAUUCGUUUACAAGAAAGUAUUACCUUGUAUGCUGCUUGUCUUCUUUUGUUCAAUGUGUACAAUGUUAACAAUAAGUGUGAUCUUUGUUUUAUUUUAAAAUGCUUGAUAACCAUAUGGUACUGAGGUCAUGCCAUCUUCUAAAAUGUAUCGUUUAUUAUCUAAAGUAUUAAAGCUACUUUAGUGUUUUUGAUCGUGUACAGGGUAUUGUUAAAUGAACGUAUUAAAUGUGGCAGAGAACGGGUUUUUUCUGAAACAGACAUUGCUUAAACAGUUCGUGACGCAGUGACUUUUUAACAAAACUCUGUUUGAUACCCUUUGCUUUUUUGUGUUCGAUUUUAGAAUUUGUAUUUUUAUCGAUGAUGGUAAAACUAAUUUUUAGCCCUAAGUCCCACGAACUCGUCAAUGACUGCACCGCCAGCUUCGUCUUUCAUCAGUCCUGUCACCUUGUGCCUUACCAUAGAAAAUAAUGGAUGGUCUGGGGAAAAGUUGGACGUGUCAAACAAGUGACUGUUUCGUUGCAUGAACUCGUAUGGGUCUAACAAAUGUUUACCCGGAGCUUCCCUGAUUUCCAUGAACAAACUGUCAGUGCCAGUCAUGAUUAGUCGCACGCGGUCGUUGUACUGUUUCACCAUGGUUUUAUAAUAAAAAGACAGAAUGUGACGGUUAGCGUGUUCUAAAAUACAAAAUCCUACUGCAAUGGGUUUGUUUAAGGUAACCAUAGUUCUUUGCAUUUCAACUGCCACUAAGUCUUCCGAAAAAAUAUUUACGUGUUUGAAAUUUGUUUUUGCAGAGUAUCGUCUUAGUCGUUCUCGUUGUGCAACCAAUUCGACUUGUUUGUAUUUUUUGACCGACUCUAUGAAUUUUCCAUAACGCACAUUUGACAUUGCUUUGUACAAAUCUUGUGAACAUUUGUCUCUAGCAUGCUUGCGUUUUUCUAUGUUCCGAGUUAAAAAAGGUUUCAUCCACUUUGAUUGCUUGAAUUUUAAAACUUUGUGAAUGCAUUUCAACUCCAAACCGAGUUUUAAAUAUAACUUUAGAGUUGCAAAAUGAAUGACGUAGUUGCUUUUAUUUUUUAAAGUACACAUUUUUUUUUGCCUGAUGGUUUAUUUAAAUUUAGACCGAAUUGUUCAAGUAACUGUUUACAGUAUGGUGAAAACUCGUCUUCGAGUAUGUUAUCGUGAAAAGGUGCAAGGGGAAAAGAGACGUGUUUUGCGUGAAGAUCUCUUGGAUAUUCCAGAUCGACUUCUAAAAUGUACCCUAACUCACCCUCGGUGUCCAAAGUCGUCCAUUCGAUAUCAAUAAACUCGAUGAGAUGAACUCGUAGUCAUAGAGAGCAAGUGGUUCUAACAUAGUGGUUGCAUACAGUGAAUUAGCAUCGAAGUGCAUGAGGUAGCACGUAUCUUUUUGUGGGUCAAAAUCACUCAUAUAUUUAUUACUUGCUUUGGAAUAUCUGUGCGAAAUCAUCGACACCCCACCCCGUAAACCUUUCUCAAUGAAACCGUACAUGUCCGGGUCUGUGAACAGAUCGAGUUCAACAUCGGUCAUUUUUAAAGCAGCAUCUAAAGCAAAACCCGGGAGACUUUUGUAAUGUAACGGAUCUAGUUCGUAACUUUUAAGACACAUGUCCCUAAAUGAUUCCAUGACAUCACACAAUAAGAGUACAUCGACAGACACAUAAAGUCUCAUGAAUUCCUCUAGUGUUUUGAUAUUAAAUUCCUUCCAAAGUUGUUCUGCAAAGGUGUAUUCUUCGUUAGAAAUGUUACUUUCCGCGAGAUGUGAAUAAAAGUCUUUGUGACUGGGUAACUGUAUGUCAUUUAAUUUAUCGAAUGAAUCCAUGUAUUCAUAACAGAAAGGAAGUAUACGGGUUAACAUGUCUACGUGAUCGGGAAAAUGUUUACUUAAAUGUACAAAACAUUGCUUUCCUUUGCUCAUGAGAUUUUUUUGUCAGUGAAUUGAGAGAUGAUGUUAGGAAUUUAAAAGAGUCGACGAAGAUUAAAUCGUCAAUGGAGAAAGACAAAAACUGUUCUGUAUUAUGCGGAAUGCAGCUGAGUUUUCUGUCUGCAAAUCUAGUAGAUGCUUGUAGAAUUAAAUGCGUGUCAUACCGUUCGCUGUUAUGAAGCACACAUAUCACUUCUUUUUCCAGUUUGAAAUUUAAAUUACAUUAACCAUGACAGAUCCCCCCCCCCCCCCCUCCCCCAAACUUUCCCGUGAGGUGACAGUGGUCGACGUGCCUACUGUAAUCUAACUAUUCACCGCACAGAUAACAUCAUUUUGUUUUUGAAGUAUGGUUCUACAAACGUCUGUUCACCUUCUGUGGUUACUUUUGACAUUUUAAUUUGUACACAAAUACCCCAUUUUAUCGAUAAUUUUUCUCUUAGUUCUGAUUGAAUAUCACGAAUAAUGUCACGACGACGUGCGACUAGAAAUCUCAUCAAGUCCGACCUAUCUUGCUCAGUACUGACAUAGUCAAAUUCUCUCACGUCACCACCCAGAGCUUGUCUAUUACAACCUCUGUUUGGAGAAAGUGGCUCGUCAGGAAUCUGAUCAGCUUCUGGUUGUGGGGAAGGGGCUUGUGCAGCUAUGAGAUUAAUCUGGGGAAAUAACAACGGGCGUUGUAUCAGGGUUACGACUAAUGGUGGCCGAUGGUUUCCGUCGCUUGUUAUGGGGUUGAACACCGACAGUCUGGGAAGCUGUAGUACUGACUGACGGAGCUGGCUUUGCUCGUUUGGUACAUCACUUUCCACACACACACAACACACACACACACACACACACACACACACACACACACACACACACACACACACACACACCCGAUUGUGUGCGACAUACUUUAAAAUGUCGUUUUAACAUAUGCACAUUGACAAAGUCUAUCAGACAUAAUGAACACUGAAAUGUUCUUUGUGGUUUAUGAUUUCGAGAGUUGUGUAUUGCAAGAUCUCUAAAUGUUGAAAAAAUGCCCUGACACUGAUUACACGAAUACGUUUGAGGUCUACUGAUGCAUGCUAAAACGUGAUUUUCGAGCUUGGUUCGGUUUGAACAUUGAUACGAACAGUUUAAACAUUUUAAAGUAUGUUCAUGAAACUGUUUAACAUGUCUGUGAUAGUUAUCGUUUCUGGUAAAAUGUUCACCACACAGUUCACAUAUGAAAAUGUGUGACUGAUUGAAACAAUUCCUUUUAUGUCUAAGAAGAUCAGAAUGUUUGAGAAAAGCGGCUCUGACAAACAUCACUGGAAAAUAUUCUACAUGUCGUGUGAGAGGACAUUUUUAAGGUCAAAAGUAUUGUUUAUUACUGAUUACAUAUAUAAACUAUUUAUUCUUGAUUACAUAUUUAAAUUAUAUUUUCUGGAUUACAUAUUAAACUAACUACUCUUGAUUACAUUUGGUUUAAAAUUUUAAUCAUAUUUUAUGUUAACAUGUUGCACAUGAACACUUUCAGUAACCUGCAAAUAAAUAAUAAUAAUCUUUUAACUAAGCUAUUUUAGAAAUGUUUAGUGAAUAAACCAUAUUUUCAAGUUAUAACAACUAAACUAUUUUAAUAAAUUUCGGUAAUGUUAUCACAAAAUAUAAUUCAAUUUAUUUCUAAAGUUAUAUGUUAAACAUCUAAAUAUUUAAAACUGAUUAAAUUCAUGUUUAUCUGUGUGGUUAGCUUUGAAAUAUAUUAAGUUCUUCGUUGUGAAAAAAGGUUAGCUAAAACUUACCUUCUAUAUAAUAUAGAUUCGGGAGUAAGGAAGAUUUUGCAGCAGCGGUGUCAACCAAAAGUGUGUCUGUUACUUGUAGACGCAGUGGUAUUUAAAAGAAAACAUGCAUUUCCCGCGAUUUUCAUUUCUUCACUUAGACAACCAAUUGUAAACUGUUUAAUUAUAACAAUGAUGUCAGCAUAACUAUCAAAACCGUUUAUAGAACUAUUAAAACCGGUUGAGCAACUAUUAAAAGCAUACAAUCACUAACUGUUUAAUGGAGUGAUGUCAGUGCAUCCACCCUCAUUGCUUUACAAAACUAUCGACAACACCCAAAUUAACUUAAUAAGCAUGCUUUCUCUCUCGCAACAUUAUUGCUAAUGUAAUACUGAAAUUAUGUGUUUUAACCUGUAUAUUUUUAACGAAAGUUGUACAUACGCAUUUAUUUCUUCCAAUGUACAUUUUUAAAAUAGUAUUACAACGUAAGAUAAGUAACAAUAAUUUUCAUCCAUGUUAUGCUGCGCUACACUCUAUGUUAAGGUUGAUAAAUAUCCUGUUAUGAGUAAGCCGUGUAGUGUCUUGUUUCUGCUCUAGAACAUAUUAUUCUAUAUUUUAUUAAAUAGUUUAAACGUUGCACUAACAACUAUUCUUCGAAUUUCACUUAAAACAUUAACAAUGUAGAUUGUUUUUAUUUUCAAAUAAUCGUUUGCAAAACAAAUAUGUUAAAACUGAAUACUACAAAUAUAUUUUAAAAUAAAGUUAUGUAGGUAGGGUAAUGUACUCUGCGUUUCUAGGUUAACACUUUCUAAAAAGUAUUUCAAUCCUUUAAAGUACAAACAUAAAUCGAACAGAAAUGUAGCAAAUAGUCACACUCGGUGGACUAAACUGAAUACGUUUAUUAUUAUUAAGUAUUAGUUUUACCCAAGACCAUCAUCACAGGUGUCACCUGUUAUUUCUAUAGUUAAAUAGAAGCUUUUCAAUUAAAGUCGACUCAAAGUCUGGUGUUUCAAUGGCAACGUCUUAAAAUAGUCUUGGAAGGUUGAAGAACCAAAAUAUGUUUUUCAAUUGGCAAUUAAGUAUUUAACCCAAAAAAGUAUUUUGAAAAGAAAGUGGAAUUUCUAAUUUCAAAGAAACAUCUCCCAUCAUUUGAAAUUAAAGAUGUAGUUGCCAGCUAUGAUUUUCUAUAGUCAAUAGAAACUUUAUCAUGAUCCAGCACUUUUUAAUGUUGGUUAAUAGCUUGCUAUUUCUAGUCAAUAGGAGGAAAAAUACCAAGUCACUAAAUCGUGGUAACCGGGUUACAGAUGUUCUGUUGGUUAAUAGUAACCUACCAAUCGUUUUAGACCUUCUACGUUAUUGUUAUACGGUUCCAUAAAAGUGGAAACGCAACAGUUUGUAUCACUCUGCGCAGAAUAUUCUUUUGAAAACAUAUAAAAUUGAAGUAACAUAUUUAAAAAAAUUAAUCAGUGUAAAAAAAAAAAAAAAAAACGAUUUACAAGGACUAUGCGAUGGUCAAAAUAUGGGACGUGAAUAAUUAAGUAUAUAUUCACAUAAACAAAAUUACAAAGUCAGGCAUAAAGCACCUGUCUUUUUCAGCACCUGCGUUCUGUGCUCUGAUGGAACACAGAGAGGAAAUUCUUGCAGCUAUCAAUCAGCUGUGCAGAAAAAGAGCGAGUUCCACUCCAUUCCACACGGCGGUUCCAACCGUAUGUUGGAACUGGGCUAGGAGUCCCACAACCACUCGAAUAGGCACGUGGUGUGCACACAGUUGGAAGAGGUCGUGGAGCGAACCUGCUGGCGGCCCUACAACACCAGCAGCAGCAGCAACAGUCACAGCAACCGUCGCAGCAACAUCCACAGCAACAUCCAGAGCAACAUCCACCGCAACAAAACAUAUAUAUAGACAUUUCGCCAGCACCAAGUGUAACAUUUAUUGAAUGACUUUUAAACAAUUAGAAUGUAGUAGAAGUUCUUAGUAAUAAAUAAUUAAGUAUUAUUGUGUCUUAUUGUUAAUUUAGCUACAAAUAUUUAAAUCUGAAUAUUUAUUACAACUAUCUUCUUAGACCGAAUCAGAGAGAUUAACAUGAACAUCUGUCCUGGACACAGGUGACGAGCUCAACCGGCUCCUCUGUCCAGGACACUAUAUUGCAAAUUAAGAAAUUGUCUCCCCUUGACCAUCAAGAAAAUUAUUUCUUGUUUGAUUAUCUACUACUGUGAUUUCAUAUUGGAUUACCUAUUAAGUCUUUCAUGUUGGAUGUACCUUCUGUGGAAUAGGAAAGUUUCUUCUGUGGAAUAGGAAAGUUUCUUCAUUUUUGGAUAUAAUAUAUUCUGUGGAAAUUACCUACACUGGAUUACUAAACCUACAUAGUGUGCAGAAUAUGUACCCUGCAAACACCUCUCUCUCUCUCUCUCUCUCUCUCUCUCUCUCUCUCUCUCUCUCUCUCUCUCUCUCUCUCUCUCUCU